This 77-nucleotide transfer RNA is filed under the name Lysobacter defluvii IMMIB APB-9 = DSM 18482. RNAcentral describes it as "tRNA-Arg". It matches the Rfam family "tRNA". From Rfam's summary of the family: Transfer RNA (tRNA) molecules are approximately 80 nucleotides in length. Their secondary structure includes four short double-helical elements and three loops (D, anti-codon, and T loops). Further hydrogen bonds mediate the characteristic L-shaped molecular structure. tRNAs have two regions of fundamental functional importance: the anti-codon, which is responsible for specific mRNA codon recognition, and the 3' end, to which the tRNAs corresponding amino acid is attached (by aminoacyl-tRNA synthetases). tRNAs cope with the degeneracy of the genetic code in two manners: having more than one tRNA (with a specific anti-codon) for a particular amino acid; and 'wobble' base-pairing, i.e. permitting non-standard base-pairing at the 3rd anti-codon position. Lineage: Bacteria; Pseudomonadati; Pseudomonadota; Gammaproteobacteria; Lysobacterales; Lysobacteraceae. RNAcentral also lists the same sequence under 12 other names. The record is from RNAcentral.
GGCCCCGUAGCUCAGCUGGAUAGAGCGUCCCCCUCCUAAGGGGAAGGUCGCACGUUCGAAUCGUGCCGGGGUCGCCA